RNAcentral lists this long non-coding RNA (42951 nucleotides) under Vitis vinifera (wine grape). Its description in RNAcentral is "long non-coding RNA (VVIN_LNC006227)". Lineage: Eukaryota; Viridiplantae; Streptophyta; Magnoliopsida; Vitales; Vitaceae. The record is from RNAcentral.
CGUCCUAAAAAAUCGAAAUUUUAUGUCUCCUUUUGGAUGGGAAUACAAAUGUUGAGGCCAAGGGUUACAUAAUUGAACUUUAUCACUGCUUUAUUAUUCAUUAUUCAAUUCAAAGAUUCUUUCUGGUUUUGAAAAGAUCACCCAGGUUCACGGGGCAUAUACAGUUUUAAAAUCUGGUUUACAGUUUUUUUUUCAAUAAUUGGUGUUAUUCUUUUCCAAAUUGUGUGAGAAAAUUUCAUUAAUUGUUUUAAAUAAUUAUAUCAAGGGUUGAAAACUGAAAUGGUAAGUGACCUCAAUGGUCUAGUACAAUUUCAUCAAUUAAAAUAGAAAAUUCAUAGAUUUUCUAGACCAUUUCUCCAAAUUGGUUCUCCCGGAGAAUAGGGCAUGUGACUAUUCGGGAUGUGAUUUUCCUUCGGUGCAUCAGAGAACCGAUUUGGAGUUUUUCUUUAUGUACGAUAUAGCAUUAGUCCUUCAAAAUAUAAGUUGCAUAUAAAAGGACUUGAAAUGUUUUUUGUGGUUUGUACUUUGUUGGCUCACUCAUGUAUGUGCCUUACUGGUGGCAGGUCUGAGUCAGAAGUUGUUAAUGAUAUUACUCGCACUAUUUUGGCAAGAUUUACUCGGAAACAUUUACAUGUUGACAAAAACCUCGUUGGGAUGGAUGAUCGUUUGAAUGAAGUUAUUCCACAAAUGAUAGAUCUAUCAUCAAAUGAGGUUCGCAUGAUUGGGAUCUAUGGACUUGGAGGAAUUGGUAAAACAACCGUUGCCAAAGUUGUUUAUAAUCGAAUUGCCCCUCUUUUCAUGAUUACUAGCUUUAUUGCUAAUGUCAGAGAGGAUUCCAAAAGUAGGGGUUUACUUCAUUUACAAAAACAACUCCUUCAUGAGAUCUUGCCAAGCCGGAAGAACUUUAUAAGCAAUGUUGAUGAAGGGAUCCAUAUGAUACAAGACAGGUUAUGCUUUAAAAGUGUUCUUCUCAUUCUUGAUGAUGUUGACACUUUGGACCAACUAGAAGGCUUGGCUGGUGAUUGCAAUUGGUUUGGUCCUGGAAGUAGAAUUAUUGUAACAACUAGAGAUAGGCAUUUGUUGGAUGUGCAUAAAAUGGAUGCAUUUUAUGAGGUUAAGAAAUUAGAUCAAAUGGAAGCUAUUGAGCUCUUUAGUCAACACGCAUUUGAACAGAAGCAUCCCAAAGAAGAUUAUGAAACACUUUCAAACUCUAUGGUGCGUUGCGUUGAUGGUCUUCCUUUAGGCCUUAAAGUUUUGGGUCGUUUCCUAUUUGGCAAGACAAUACUUGAAUGGAAAAGUGAAUUGCAAAAACUAAAACAGGAACCUAACCAAGAAAUUCAAGGUGUGCUCAAGAGAAGUUAUGAUGAAUUAGAUCUCACACAAAAGGAUAUAUUCCUAGAUGUUGCUUGCUUCUUUAAUGGAGAAGAUAAAGAUCAUGUUACAAGAAUCCUAGAUGCUUGCAACUUCUAUGCAGAGAGUGGAAUACGAGUCCUCGGUGAUAAAUGCCUCAUAACUAUUUUUGACAACAAGAUAUUGAUGCAUGAUUUGUUACAACAAAUGGGACGAUACAUUGUUCGACAAGAUUAUCCUAACUACCCUGAAAAAUGGAGCAGGUUGUGCUAUCCUGACGACGUAAAUCGUGUAUUGAUCAGAAAAUCGGUAAGAGCAAAAUGUAAAUGAACCUACUUUCAUACUUGAAGGUUAUUUGAAACACCUAAGCUUCAACAGUAUCAAUUUUUUUUUUUUAAGUUAUAUAUCUUAUUUAACUUUUAUAUGUUUUUCUCUUCACUUAUUUUUUACUCUUGUUUGUUAGGGAACAGAGGCAAUUGAGGGCAUACUCUUCGACUUGUCUAUACCAAAGCGUAAGCGGAUAGACAUUACUACUAAAUCCUUUGAGAUGAUGACAAGACUUAGGUUGCUCAAAAUCUAUUGGGCUCAUGGAUCUAUUUCUAUAAGGGAGGAUAAUAAAGUAAAGUUGUCCAAAGACUUUGAAUUCCCCUCUUAUGAGCUAAGAUAUCUCUACUGGCAUGGAUAUCCUUUGGAAUCUUUGCCUUCAAGUUUUUAUGCUGAGGACCUCAUUGAACUUGACAUGUGUUACAGCAGCUUAAAACAACUUUGGGAAAGCGACGAGGUAUGAAAUUAUUUAUUCAUGUUUCUUUCUUUAGAUAAACCUCUGAAGUUCAUGAAAGCUUAUGCAUUGUAUCAUUUUUUUCCCUCUCUCUUACAGCCUCUUGAAAAGUUAAAUACUAUCAGAGUUAGUUUCUCUCAGCACCUCAUGGAAAUUCCAGACUUCUCAGUUAGGGCUCCAAAUCUGGAAAAACUAAUUCUUGAUGGUUGUUCAAGUUUGCUUGAGGUUCAUCCAUCUAUUGGAAGGCUGAAGAAGAUUAUUGUAUUGAAUCUAAAAAACUGCAAACAGCUUAGCAGUUUUCCAAGCAUCACUGACAUGGAAGCACUUGAAAUUCUUAAUUUUGCUGGCUGCUCAGAGCUCAAGAAGUUUCCGGAUAUUCAAUGUAAUAUGGAACAUUUAUUGAAGCUUUAUUUAUCAUCAACUGCUAUAGAGGAACUUCCAUCUUCAAUCGGGCAGCAUAUCACUGGACUUGUUUUAUUGGAUCUGAAAAGGUGCAAAAAUCUUACGAGUCUUCCCACAUGUAUUUUUAAGUUGAAAUCCCUUGAAUAUCUCUUUCUGUCUGGCUGUUCAAAAUUGGAGAAUUUUCCAGAAAUAAUGGAGGACAUGGAAAAUUUAAAAGAGCUUCUUUUAGAUGGAACAUCCAUAGAAGUGCUACCCUCUUCAAUUGAACGUCUAAAAGGACUUGUUCUAUUGAAUCUGAGGAAAUGCAAAAAGCUUGUGAGUCUUCCAGACAGCAUGUGUAAUUUGAGAUCCCUUCAAACAAUCAUUGUCUCUGGUUGUUCACAACUAGACCAAUUGCCUAAGAAUGUUGGGAGCCUGCAACAUCUAGUGCAGCUCCAUGCUGAUGGAACUGCUAUAAGACAACCACCUGACUCAAUUGUUCUUUUGAGAGGCCUCCGAGUGUUGAUCUAUCCUGGAUGUAAAAUAUUACCAUCUAGCUCAUUGAGUUCACUCUUUUCAUUCUGGUUGUUGCAUGGAAGAGGUUCAAAUGGGAUUGGUUUGCGCUUGCCUUCUUUUCCAUGUUUAAGCUCCUUGACAAAUUUAAACCAAAGCAGUUGCAAUCCAAGCAGAAACAAUUUUCUAAGCAUACCUACCAGCAUCAGUGCACUUACUAACCUGAGAGACCUUUGGUUGGGGCAGUGCCAGAAUCUUACAGAAAUUCCAGAGCUUCCACCAAGUGUCCCAGAUAUCAAUUCACGUGAUUGCACAUCCCUUUCAUUAAGUUCAUCCAGUAUAAGCAUGUUGCAGUGGCUGCAGUUCCUAUUCUAUUAUUGCUUGAAGCCAGUUGAGGAGCAAUUUAAUGAUGAUAAGAGGGAUGCAUUACAAAGAUUUCCUGAUAAUUUAGUGUCUUUUUCUUGUUCUGAGCCCUCUCCAUCUAAUUUCGCUGUGGUGAAGCAGAAAUUUUUUGAAAAUGUUGCAUUUAGCAUGAUUCUUCCUGGAAGUGGAAUUCCCAAGUGGAUCUGGCAUCGGAAUAUGGGAUCUUUUGUAAAAGUAAAGCUACCUACGGAUUGGUAUGAUGAUGACUUUUUGGGAUUUGCUGUCUGCUCUGUUCUUGAACAUGUCCCUGAUAGAAUUGUAUGCCAUUUGAGUCCUGACACUCUUGAUUAUGGAGAAUUGAGAGACUUCGGUCAUGAUUUCCAUUGCAAAGGUAGCGAUGUCAGUUCAGAGCAUGUCUGGUUGGGUUAUCAACCUUGUGCUCAGCUGAGGAUGUUUCAAGUGAAUGACCCGAAUGAGUGGAGUCACAUGGAGAUUUCUUUUGAAGCAACCCAUAGACUCAGCUCAAGAGCAUCAAAUAUGGUGAAAGAAUGUGGGGUACGUCUUAUAUAUGCAGAAGAUCUUGAAAGUAUACAAUGCAGCCCUCUUCUUGGGAGUUUGGGUGACUCUGGAUCAAGAGUAGGAGGCAAUAUAGUUGAGAGAAGCAGUGACGGGGCAGGGCCCAGUGGAAGUGGAAGUGGGCACAGUUCUGUUGGCAGCAGUCAGCAUUCCAGGAAUGAUCCCUUGCUGAAGGUCAAGCGCAAAUAUUUCCCAGAAUGACUACCAUCAUCCAAGCACUUUCUUCCAAUAAACUUCUCUUCUGUUGAUUUGGUUAUGCACGCUUCAAGUUAUGAUUAUUUUCUUUCUUCCAUUGUAUUGACCUCCUCCAAUCAUAUCUCUCUAUUACAUCUUUGUGGACCUUUUGGUAAGCGCCUUCUUUUUCUUCUCUCAUUAAGUUCAUAAUGAUUGAAGCAACUGAAAUUGGUUGAGGUGUUUUUAUUUCUUAUUUAAUUUUUUCUUUUUAAUGUUUUAGGCAGGGAUUUUUCAUAAGAAUAUAACCUUUGAUUCUGCUGAAACUUGUUUCUUGAGCCUAUGUAAAUCUCUGAUAAUUAGAAUUUUGUUUAGCACUGGAUGAAUCUUGUGAGUUGUUUUGAUUAAAAAGGCCAUGCAAAGAUGUUGUUGGGUGUUAAAUGCAAGUUGUUUGAUGAAAUGCCCAGCAACAAAACAUCUUUAGAUUACAGGCUACCUUAAGGUAUAGUAUCUCCUAUUUAAAACAAACAGGCUAGUGAAUCUGUUCAAACAGAUUUGAGGAUAUCUUGCCAAUACGGAUAAAGCAGAAACACCCAUUUGAAAAUCUCAAGACUCCUCUCACCAUGGAGGUUGAAAUUGUAAGUAAUACUCCCCAAAACCACCUAUACACUGACCUUGGUUGUCAAGAGAGAUCAAAUCUAAUCCAAUCUUAUUUAGUUCUGUUGUGUAUGUGUGUGUAUGUAUUCAACAAGAAUCAUGUUGAAAUGAGUAAAUACAGGAACUGCUCUGCUUUUGAUCCAUUGGUUAGUGCUAACAAGCAUAUAAAUUGGAAUUAGGCAUUUGUGAUAGUGACUAAGGAACCCUUCAUUCUGGCUGACUAACGAAUAUGUCAAGAAGUGAAACAUGCUACCCCCUCCCCCUCCUACACACACACCCUGUAUAAAAACCAAGUUAUAUGCUACCAUUUUCUAGCACUUCAAAUCUUUCUUAAAUUGGAUUCAGUGGGCAUUUACUUUUUGGAGUGAAUGAUUUUUGUGCAUUAUAACCUUCAGUUUUUGGUAGUAAUAAUUUUAAAUUGAAUAUCAAAGAAUGAAUUGAAUUUCAAAGUCUAAGAUGAUAUGGCCAUUGUUUUUGGUUCGAAUGGAUUUAAUAUUGUGGAUCGCUUGUAGUGUAUCAUUUUAAGUCUGAAUGAAUUUGAUAUUGUUUUGGUUGUGCUUGAGUGAACAAGCUGGGGAUAUGAUUGUUUUAUAUUGGUUCUUUAAAUGGUUAUGAGCAUUAGAGGAGCCUCUAUGCCAUUUUUAUUUUCUUGGAAGUCUUAAGGGACGAAAAAUAGGGAAGAAAGCAAAGCAGGAAAUUUUAGAAACUCACAUUUGUGUCAUAAGUUAUGGCCUUUGUACACUUUGUUUAAGAUGAGUUUGAAAAUCAGUUGAAAAUGUAACUUUUAUAAAUUUAUUUGGGUGGAAUUAUGAAUUAAGUUCUGUGACCAGCUGCCAUCUCUAUUGCACAGAAUACAAUCAGAAUUUGCAUGAAAUGAUUUAAUGUGGUGCUUAAACACAUGUGAGAAACUUGUUAGAUUCUUGCAAUUCUGAGUUCAGGAUCCAUAAAUCAUUGGAAUUAGUUUAAUGUAUAUAAACACAUACCACUAUAUAAAUUUUCCAGCUGAAAAACCAUAUGGAAUGUGUUGUUUGUGCAAUGAUAAUACCAUGUUUAUGAAUCUUUGCAGUUCUCAUGGCUUGUAGACUGUUGGAAUAAAAUUUCGCUCUUCUAAAUUUAUUUAUUUGUUUAGGAAAAUGAUUUGAAUGGUUCUCUUUUAAUUCUGUUGGAAUUGCUUUCAGUCCAGCAAUCGCUAUUUUCUCUGUGCAAAUAUUUGUGGUCAAAAUAUAGCAGGCAAAAUUUAUAAUCUAAUUUAGAGUGAAGAGCUACAUGUAUUCCAUCCAUUAAGUUUCCAUCUGUAAUCCAUUGCAUGUUUUGCUCUUCAUCAGUGCUUGUAAUUAUUUUCCCAAAUAUUUGGUCCCAUGCUUUUGAUAAUUGGGUUUCUAUGCGGUUUGUUUCAUAAAUUGCUAUUAAAUUAGGUUUUAAAUCAAACCCAAGUGGCAUGUGCUUUGGUUCCUCGAAUCCAUUGUGAGUUCUGCUUUUUAUGGGUGUUUGGAUUAUUUGAUUUUCUUUUAAUGCCUUUGAUAAUUGGUUUCUGGUGUAGUUUGUAUGUACUUACCUAUGGAAGUAGGUUCUAAAGAAAGCCAAAAUUUGUUUGUCUUUAGGUUCUUGAAGUUCUAAUUUGACUGGUAGUUCAUAGUGAACAAUUUAAAUGUUUUUUGGAAUCCAUUGGUGAUUUUUUCAGAUUCAUAAGUCAUUUCAUUUUGAGAAUGAAUAGGUUUCCAAUUGUCAUCCACUUUGUAUUUCCACUAUAGGAAAAAUACAACAAUAUCAAUAAAUAGGAUCGGAUAAAUGACUCUUAGAAGAUUUUGGAUAAUUUGGUCCAUACUUAUUGUUAUGAACUCCUAAGAAAACCCUUUAAUAUAAAGAUACGGGACUAUAAGAGUCCUUUGUAUCUUUCUACCCUCCACGAUCAAAGGCACAAAAUGACUGCUUGAAAAAACUCUGAUAGGGAAUUGCUCUAGAGCUUAAUUAUUCACACUUUGGAUGGAUUAUAGUUCACACCAAUGGUGGCUUUAUUUAUAGAAUGUAAUAUGGCAUAAGAUAAAGACAGGUUUGAAUUUAAAUCGAGAUAUAUAGAACUCUCUAACUAUAUGAAUUAAAGAAAACAUUUUGAAUUCAAUUGAAACAACAUGGACAGUGAAUAUAGACCAAGCCCGAAAUCAAUCUAGAAUCUAUUCUCUCACUCAUUUGCAUUGGAUAUCUUGAUAACAGGGAUAAGCCAAAAACACACAUGUGAAAAAUCCAAGACUUAUCUCACAAUAGAGGUUGAAAUUGUAAGCAAUCCUCCCAAAAUCACACCUAUACACUGACCUUGGUUGUCAAGAGAGGCCAAAAAUAAUCCAAGCUCAUUUAGCUCUUUUUUUUUUUUUUUUUCUUUUUCUUCUUGUUCCAAAAGGAAAUCAACCAUCAUUGUUCAAUUAUUUUUCAACUAGAAUCAUGUUGAAAUGAGUAACUAAAACUCAAGUUACAUGACCCAUUUUCUAGCACUUAAAAUCUUGUUUCAAAUAUGAUAACAUGGAUAUUUACGUUUUUGAGUAUGAAUGAUAUUUUUGCAUUAUAACAUUCGAUUUUUAAUACCUAUAGUUUUUAUAUUGACUAGGAAAGAAUGACUUAAAUUUCAAAGUUAGUGCUAAGCUAAUUUUUUUGGCCAUUGUUUUUGGUUUGAAUGAAUUUGAUGUUGUGGAUAAUUUUUGGUUUGGAUAAAUUUGAUGUUGUUUUGGUUGUGUUUGAACUAACAAGUUGGAGAUAUGCAUGAUUUGUUUUAAAUUGGUUUUUGAAAUGGUUAUGAGCAUUAGAAAAGUCUUUAUGCUUUGUUUGAUUCUUGGGGAACAAAAGAAAUGAGAAAGCAAAGCAGAGAAUUUUUCGAAACUCACAUUUGUGUGGCAUGUUUUGUAGAUCUACUCAGGUGAAAUCUAUAGGAAUUUUUGCUAACAUUUAUAGUAUUGUCAUAAGAGAUGGCCUUUUACACUUUGUUUAAGAUGAGUUUGAUAAUCAGUUCAAAUUGUAAGUUCCAGAAAUUUCUAUAGAUAGAAAUUGUAAGAACCUUAUUUUAUGUUCUAUGACAAGCUGUUCUCUCCAUUGCACAGGCCAGAAUGAGAAUUCCCAUGGAAGGAUUUAAUGUUCUUGUUUCUUGUAGAGCAACUCCUUUGCAAGUGCAGCUGUCCCACCAGCUUGUAAUUUUUUUUUUUAACUAUUAAUAUAUUUUAGAUGCUACUUAUGAAACUAGUUAUUUUUGUUUGUGAUAAAUUCAGCAGAGCCUUAUUAAGGCUUUUUUUAUUCAAUCCAUUGUUGUGGCACAGAUGCCUUUUGCAAUUCUAAAUACAGAAUCCAUGCAUCAUUGGGCUUAGUUUCAUGUUUAUAUAAACAUAUACUAAGGGGACAAUGAAUUUUGUAUAUUGAUUUCAAGGAUGAGUAUAUAUAUAUAUAUAUAUAUGUAUGUCUCUAAACAAUGCUUAAAUUAUUGGUAACAAUGCUCUUGGUGAAUGCUUAAAUUAGUUAACAAUGCUCUUGGUGAAUGCUUAAAUUAGCUAACAAUGCUUACGACAUAGGCUAAAUUUGUAAGUAUAUAAGCUUCCCAAACUAUCCUUUGAUACAAACCUCAGCCAACUACUGCCUCCAUUUUAUCAUCACCAAGUUUGUGAGUUGCUUCAGUCGAUGUGAUAGUUGCCUUACAUCCUACCAUAUGAGUUUCUUUUAAAAUGUCAAUAACAUACUUCUAUUGUGAUGUAAAGAUACCUUUCUUCGAAUGAGCUAUGUCAAUCCCUAAGUACUUCAAUCUUUUAAGAUCUUUUAUCUCAAACUCUACAUUUAGAUGUCUUUUUAGUUGUUUCAUCUCUUUCAGAUCAUCAGCAAUAAUUAUUAUGCCAUCUAUAUUAACAUUUAAAGUAGUCACCUAUCCUAAAGUGAGCUUUUAAUAAAUAGGAUAUGAUCUCCUUGACUCCGUUGAUAUUUCAUAUUCAACAUAGUUUGUUAAUCAUUCAAACUAGUCCCUAGCUAGAAGAUUGCUUGAGUUCAUAUAGUCCUUUCUUAAGUCAGCACACAUGGUUGUUCUUGGGAUGUUCAUCAAAUCUUACUAAAGCUUCAAUAUGAACCUCCUCCUACAAAUCACUGUGAGAAAAUAUUUUUGACAUCAAAUUAUUGCAAAAAUCGAUCAAGAUUAGUAGCCAGCUGUGACAAUAAAACUCAAACAAUAUUUAUUUUGCAAGUGAGGCAAAGGUUUCUUGGUAAUUGACCCCAUAUGUUUGAGUACAACUGGUGGCCACCAAUCUAAAUUUAUAUCUUUCUAGAGUUCUAUUUGCCUUAUAUUUCACAAUAAACACCCAUGUACACCCAACUGGUCUCUUCUCUUUAGGAAGCUCAACAACCUCCCAUGUUUGAUUUUUUUUUUAGUGGUCUCAUUUCCUCACUCAUUGCAGCUCUCAUUUCUAAGUGCUUCGUAGACAACUUUUGGAAUAUGAAUGUGAUUUAAUUCACACAAUAAGGCUUUAUGAGAGGGUGACAACCUAUGAAAUGAAAUGAAGUUGGAGAUAGGAUGUUGAGUAGCGCAUUUUUUGGAAGGUAUUAGGCACCAUAAAGCUCUUGUAAUUUAAAAAAGGUGCCUAUAUUUAUUUAUUUUUUCUCUCCGCUACCCAUUCUCCUGUGGCAUAUCACUAAAACAUGAGUAAUGGAUAAUCCCAUUUUCUCCACUAUCCCGUACUCUUGAGCAUUGGCAGACCUCACUUUUGGUUUGAACUCCAAAUUGAUCAUUAAUCAUUUUAUGAAAUAUAGGAAACACACUACUCACUUCUGAUUUAUCUUUCAAACAAAUAAAACCAAGAGAUUACAGUGUAAUCAUCAAUGAAAGACAUAAACCAAUGAGAUCUAGAAAUAUUAGGAAUAUGAGGACCCUGCACAUCUGUAUUAAUCAAAGUGAAUUGGGGAGAUGAUCUAUUAUCACUCAACAAAAAUGAUGUCUUGUGAUGUGUAGCCAAUUCACAAACUUCACAAUGAAACAUAUUGAUGUCUAGAUGUUCAAAUAACGAUGGAAAUAUUUUUUUCAGCAAAGGGAAUGGAGAAUAUCCUAGUCUAAGAUGUAGGCAAAUUUGGUUUUUAUUGGAUGUGGUUUUUUUGAAAGGUUAAAGAGUGGCAGUUUGUCACGGAUUCCACCACUAGCUUUAAGAAGGUAGAACCCUUCCCGUUCCUUAGCAUGCAUGCCUAAUUGUCUUUCCCGUAACUGUCUUAAAACACAUAGUGAGAAGGAAAAAAAAUUUCACAUUGCAUUUUAAAUCUUUUGUGAUAUGAUGAACCGAAAAGAGAUUAUUUGAUAACUUUGGCACAUAUAAAAUAGACUUUAACAAUAAAGAUGGUUACGGCUUUAUUGUGGCCUGACCAGCCACUAUAGCGAGAGUGCUAGUAGCCACUUAAACUUUGUAUUACCAGGACAAGGAAUGUAUGUGGAAAAUUUGUGUGAAGUGUUUGCCAUAUGGUCUGCUGUUCUUUGAAUCAAUUACCCAAGGGCUUGAGAGACGAUCCUUUGAAGCACCUAGAGCAAAAAAAUUAGUGUACUUACCUGAGCGUGCCAAUAAGCAUGAAGUACUACUCAAAUUUUCUAGGGACGAGAAGAGAUUUUUGAAUCAUUCAAUCUCCUCUUUGUUAGAUCCUUUAGUUUAAUAGUUGUCUAACAUAUUUUUCUCGUAAAAGACCAAAUGAUUGAUUCUUUCCAUGAAGCUUCCAACAAUUCUCCUUCAUGUAUGGCAGCUUCUUACAAUGGUUACACCAUAAACCAUCUUUUUUGGUUGAUGGUCUAGGUUUUUCAGCUUUUCCAGAUUCUGCAAUAAGCCUGAUGUUGUUAUUGUUCGGUGAAGAAAUGACAAGUGUUGAUCCUUCAAUAGAGUGAUUAUCGAGCAUCAUUGUUUGACGACCUUCCUCAGCUCUGAUUCUGGAGGAAACUUCACUUAGUAGUGGCAAGAAUUCCUUUUUAAGGCCUUGAACCCAAACCUGAUCAUAUUUAACAUUCAGACCAACCAAGAACUUAAGGAUUCUCUCUUUUUCCACAAAUUUCUACAUCAUGGUAUUGUCUUCAUUGCACUUCAUUUUGAGGUUUGGAUAAUGAUCUAGAUCGAGCCACAAUCCCUCAGUGUUGUAAUAUUUUAUCACAGACAUGGGUCCUUAUUUGGUUGACGUUAUUUUCAUCUUGAUUUCUUACAUUUGAGUACCAUCUCUAAUCUUAGAGUAUGUUUGUCUCAUAGCUUCCCAAAUUUCUCUAGUCAUCGGUGGAAACAUACAGGUACCACUAAUCACUAGUCCCAAAAAAUUCCAAAGCCAUGACAUGAUCAUGGAGUCUUCUUUAUCCUAAAUAUUAAAUUUGGGAUCUUCGUGGCUAGUUGUUGGUAUGAUAAGAUAACUCAGUUUUCCUUUACCAGUGAAGAAGGUUCAGACCAAUUGAGAUAAUAGAAGAUAGUUUCUAAUAUUCAAUUGGAAAACAACUUGAAGAUUCUGUUACUCACUUUAGUGUGAUUGUUGAGGGUUCGUAGUUUAAGGGAUGAUUGCUUAGCUCAUCAAUUCAGAGAUUUCUCCCAUUGUGUGAUAGAUUAUAAGGAUUUAAGUAUGAAAAAUAAAAAAAUAAAAAUUGGUUCUUUGUAAUCAAUAGUAAGUGUUGAACAAUUGCAAAACUCUACCAUGAAGAUCCUUGAGCUUUGAUACCAUGUGGGAAAAAUGAAUUAUGAAGAUUGUUUUGAAAGGUGAGUGUGUGCAGGUACAUAUAUAUAUAUAUAUAGUUAAGGUACAUGGAAAAUAAGGAAAUUAUUCCUAAAAAGCCAUACCUAAAAUCUAUUUUGAAGAUCAAAAAAUAAAAUAAAAUCUCAAAAGAAAAAAAAAAGAAAAAGAAUAUGGACCUUCCUAAUGAAUCUUAUAGUUGAAUCUUGUUUAGUGAUUGAUUUCACCAACUCUUGGUGAAUAGAUUAUAGGGGUCACUAAUCAUAUUUGUAAGUCUUUACAAGGUUUCAAUUAAGGAGAAGGUUGAAUGAUGGGGACAUGUACUUGACUCUUAACUUCUAAUGAAAGGAUAGCAGUGGAGGCUAUAGGAGAUGUUAUCCUAGUAUUAGAUAAUAAAUGUCAUCUAAAACUCAAGAAUUUGCCUUUAUAUACUUGAAGGUAGAAAAAGUCUUAUUUCAGUUUCUAGUUUAAAUAAAUCAAAUUAUUUAGUUUAUUUCAAUAAAGAUGAUACUAUUAGAAAGAAUAAUUCAUUUAUUUGUUAUUAAUUGAUAAUCUUUAUCGCAUUGCUCCUUUUAUUUUACUAUGUUGAGAAUAAUUAGAUUUCAAUAAAGAGAAAAUUACCUAGCACUAAAUAUGAUCAAAAGACCGGUUAAGUCUAAAUCAUUUGACACUUUGAUUCCAAAAAAUCUUCCAAUUUACGAAUCUUAUAUAGAAGGUAAAAUGACCAAGAGGCUCUUCAUUACUAAACGACUUAAAGCCAAAGAGCAUUUUAGCGUCUAUGCAUAUGGAGAGUAUGAGUAUUUCAUCAUUUUUAAUAAUGAAUGUUCUAGGUAGGGUUAUGUUUACCUUAUUAAUAGGAAAUCCAAUCCCUUGGAUAAAUUCAAGUAAUUUAAAGUUGAAUUAGAAAAGUAGUUAAGUAAACACCUAAGGACACUUCAAUCGGAUCAAAGUGGUGAAUACAUAUCCAAAAGAUCAAAUAAUCUAGGAUGUCUACUACAACUAACAAUCACCUAUUUAUACUAAUACCCUGUCCACAUGACAAAGUCCUAUAAUGUUACCUCAUCUACCCAUCCAAACAUCAAUGGUAAAACCUAACUAAAAUAACCACAAAGUAAACAUCACAAAACAAAGCUAGAAUUGAAGUUUUUACAAUAAUAUGUCAAAACUGAAAGUUCAGUAUCAAAAUGCUUUUCGACACAUCACUAUGAAUUACAACAUAUCUCGACAAUAGGUUCAACAAAAAUGAAAAAUCUCUAAUACUGAAUCAUAUUUCAAUACCACAACUAAUGUAUCAAAAUGACCCCUUUUGUUGAUUUCAUGUGCUUCAAUUCCUCAGUGACCAUUAUGAUUUGAUACUUCUUUGCUUAUAUCGAAAUGCAUCUGGCACCACAUCUUCCAUUCCAAUGUAACCUUUGUUCUUGCCCCCUAAUUCUUUCUUCAAUGUUUUCUUCAUCUAUCUUGAUCCUUUCUUCACUUAUCCAAUCCUCCAAAAUGCGUUUUUCAAACCUUAUUUUGCUACACGAGACACUCAAAAUUCACGUUAGUAACUACAAUAAGACUUUAGCAAUAACACAAGCUAAAAGAACUGAUUUGUGCUCUCUUUUAUACCAAAAUGACAUGUUUUAUCAUUGAAAAUCACAUGAUUUGAGCACAUAUCAUUCAAAAAUCAGAGAUCAUGUGAAUUGAAACUGCAUAACAGUCUUACCGAUUUGAGCUUCUUUCCCACUGGUUAAAAAAUCUAAUGAGCCAGUGGUCCACUACAAUUAAUAGCCCCGGCCUUCACAAAACCAAAAGGCCCUAAGCGCAAAAAGCAGAUCAACUCCUCCAUGCGUCGAGCACCCAUAAUAAACUGCAUUGAAGCAUCAAAAGAAAGUCAAGCAAAUACAUUUUGACAUCUUCUUCUUCUAUUGUAUAUUCUGGUAUUCUUCCUUUCACCAUGUUUCCCCUCGGAAAAACACAAGGAAAAAGACACGGGUUAGUCGACUGGGCGUUAGGAAAGAAAUCAAUCUCUUACACUCCAAGAGAUCCAUCCUUUGGUUCUGGAUGAACCCCAAAAGCAAUGAACAGAUGGACUAGUUAACUAAAUCCCUCUAAUGACCUUUGUCAUUUAAAUGUCAGCUGCAUAAUCAUUAGCACCUUCUUACCUAGAAAUAAAUUGUUAGAAGCACUGCAAAAUUACUCUUAUCUAGUAUUUCCUUCAGUGGAAGUGCCAAAUAAUUAGACCCUGAUAAUCAUCACAUCUGCAACAAAACAGAGUAGAAAAACAAUGACAAAAAAUACAGCUAUGAAAUAAUUUAAUAAUUAAAACACAUUUUUUUUAUGAUAAAAUAUUUCAGGUUACUUUUGGCUGAAGAACCAUAAGCAAAUUUUGGGGGGCACAGGUAUAAUCUACAUUUCAGGCUGAACACACUAAUAGAGACAAGCUAGAAACCUUGUCAACAACAGGAAACAAAAUAUAUGUGACUAAAAUAAAGAGAUGUAUGCUUCAUAAAAACAAGGGCUUAAAGUGUCUUUCUCAAAUGGGACGAAUAAUUAAAAAAGAAAACAAUUACAUUCUUAAACAAAUUAGAAAUAAGGCACUCCCAAGUGACUAAGAAUAUUAACUAGUAGCACUCAAAUGACCACAUUAAACUAACCUGAUCUGAGUUAUUUGCUAUGCCUUUUGUCUAGUAUCCCCACCAAUUACUUGAAUGGACCACAGAGCAACAGAGGCCACUUCCACUUGCACCCACACUGGAAUCUGCUGAUUUGAGGUCACUGAAAUUCCCAGAAGAGCUGUGGUGGAUCAUGGUUGAGUUUCUCUCUUCAUGAUCUUGAGCGUAUAUAAGAUGGAUCCCACACUUUCUCACCAUGUUGCUUGGACAACAGCUAAUGAAGCCAAAUGAAGCCUUAGCAUGCCUCCAUCUAUUGGGGCAAUCACCAUAGGAGAUCCGAAGUCGUCCACGGGGCUUGUAUGCUAGCCACAUGUGAUGUGACUUGAGUCUGUCUUCACUAUUGCCUUCACAAUCGAUUGAAUGCAAAAUAUGACCAAUGCCUCUAAAAUGAGAUUCAUCAGAUUGCAAUUGACACAGAAGUUGGGAACUGCAUCCAUUGGGGGCUAUGUCCUCAAAUGCAAAAACACAGCAUACAGCAAAUCCUAAGAAGUUACUUUCAAACCAAUGAGGAGGCAGCUCUAUUGUCACUUCAGAUCCGAGAUUCUGAUUCGAGAUCCAGUCUGGAAUUUCACUUCCAGGAAGAAAAAUGCUAAACCCAAAAUCUGGAAGAAAAUUCUGUAAAAUGAAAAGCAUAAAAUGUUACAUCAUUUCGAACAUGCACAUAUCCACAGAGAGAGAGAGGGAGAGAGAGAGAGAGAGAGAGACCUGAAGUUUCUGUAGCAUAUUUGUGACAAUCUGCAUUCUGGGUGAUAUAAUUGCCAUAUCAUUACUGCAUGGGUUUUCAGCAUCCAGAUUGAAACAAUUUGGGAGUGUAAAUACUAGCCAACGGCAAACAGGCUGGUUAUUGCAGACACUAGAUGGGGUUAAUAUAGUGUUAAGGGAUGAACAAUAUUGUGCAUUUACUUCUAUUAUACUUGAUGGGAGCUCGGGAAUUUGUAAGAGACUCUUGCAGUGGUUCAAGGAGAGGAAUCUUAGUUUUGAAAGCUUACUAAUGCCUGCAGGUAAGCUGAAAAAGUUGUUUCUGCUUAGAUUUAAUGUUUCCAAUGAGGAUAAGUUGCAGAUAUCAAAGGGCACUGCUCCCUCCAUUAGAUUGCAGUCACUUAUAUCUAGUUCUCUUAAGGAGCACAAACCCGACAAAGAAGGCAAUUGCAAACCAAUGGUGUCUGAACUUUUUCUUGGCAACAACCAGAAUGAGAAGAGUGAACUCCAUGAGUUAGAUGCAAGUCCUUUACAUCCCCCAAACGACAAUAUUUCAAGAUUUCUUAAAAGAACAAUUGAGGAAGGUGGUUGCCUUACGAGUGUUCCAUCUGCCUGAAGCUUCACUAAACAUUGCAAACUACCCAGGUUCUCUGGCAAUUGUUGGAGCUUUGAACAACCAGAAACAAUAAGUGUCUCAAGAGAUUUCAAGUUACCAAUGCUGCAAGGAAGAGUUGCAAGGUUUUUGCAAUCUCUCAGGUUCAGAGAAACAAGGCCAUUUAGAUGUUCAAUUGAUGGGUGCAGCUGUUUUAAGGCAGUUCCAUCCAAAAGAAGCUUUUUUAAAUGUUCCAUGUUCUCCAUGAUUUCAGGAAAACUCUCUAGUUUUGAGCAAGCAGAGAGAAUGAGAGUCUCAAGGGAUUUCAACUUACAAAUGCUACUUGGAAGAGACUUAAGCCUUUUGCAAUUUUCCAAAUCUAACAGAAUGAGUCCUGUGAGAUACCCAAUGGAGAAAGGUAAUUCACUAAUUGCUGUCCCAUCUAAAUAAAGCUCAGACAAAUGUUGCAUAUUGCCUUGAAUUUCUGGAAAAUUCUUGAGAUCUGAACACCCAGAAAGAGACAGAUAUUUAAGGCAUUCCAACUUAAUACUUCUUGGAAAACUCCUUAGUUUUUUGCAGUUUUUCAGAUUCAAGAAAAUAAGCUUGUUUAGAACUUCAAUAGAUGGGUCAACCUCAAGAAAACUUGUACAACCUUCAAGAACUAGUCUCUCUAGAUUUGGCAUGCUUGAGAAGUUUGGCAAAUGGAUGAGAUGUUGAGAGUUACUGAGUUCGAUAGUAUUUAAAUUAUCAAGAACCUGUAACAAAAGAAAAUUUUAUCAAAUAACUAUAUGGUGAAAAUUUAGGUCGAGAAACAAACAUAAAUAAAGAAUAAUGAUACCUCAUUUCCCUUCCAAAGUUCUCUCAUAUAGCUAUAACACAUGUUCAGCUCAAUGAGGUUCUCUGAAUGAAAUUUGGAUGGCAGAGACCCAAAAGGGUAUCCAUGCCAAUAGAGAUAUCUUAACUCAUAAGAAGGAAAUUCAAAAGAUACAGAAAGGGGCUCUUUAUAGCCUUCUUUUCCAAUGCCCGAAAAAUUAAAAACUUUAAGUAAUCUGAGUCUAUUCAUCUUAGCAAAGGCUUCUGUAGUAAAUUGUAUCUCCUUUGAUCUAUACAUAUCAAGGAAUAUGCCUUCAAUGGUUUCUGUUCCCUGAGAAACAAGAAUGACGAAUAAGUGAGGAAGAAAAUUUAUGAAUACUAACUCAAUUAAUUAAAUUGUACUUACCUUCUUGAAUGAAAAUGAUUUUAUUGAAGCUUACAUCUUUGUGCAAAUGUUGGGUAUGAAAAGUAAAGUUUAUGCAUUUGACACUUACCGUAUUUUUCUUCAAUACACUGUAGAUAUGCUCAUAAUCCCAUAGUCUGCUCCAUUUUCCAGGAUCUUUAGGACAUUCUUGGCGUACAAUUUCCCAACCCAUUUGUUGUAUCAAAUCAUGCAUCCAUAACCUGUUAUCUAACAAGUCUAUGAGGCACCUGUCACUGAGAACUCUUAUGCCACUCUUUGCAUGAAAUCCGCAACCAUCUAGUAUUUUUAUAACAAAAUCAUACUCCUGUCCUUUAAAAAAGCACGCAAGAUCAAGAAAUAUCUCCUUCUGUGUAAAAUCUAAUCCAUCAAAACUUAUUCUAAGAACAUCUUGAACCUUUGUAUUAAGCUCCUUUUUUAGCUUAUGUAAUUCACUUUCCCACUCAAGUAUUGUCUUACUAAAUAGGAAAGAACCCAAAACUUUAAGAGCCAGUGGAAGGCCUUUAGCAUAAUGUACUACAUUGUCAGAGAGGUUCAUAUAAUCUUUAUCUGGACUUUUUCUUUUGAAAGCAUAUUGACUGAAAAGUUGAAGAGCUUCCUCUGGUUCUAAUUCCUUAGCCUCAUAUAUUUCACUCACUCCAUGCACAUUUAGUAGAUGUUUAUCUCUAGUUGUUAUAACAAUUCUACUUCCAAUACCAAACCAAUCAACAUUUCCAGCUAAGGAUUCUAAUUGAUUCAAAUCAUCCACGUCAUCAAGAAUAAUAAGAACCUUUUUAGAGUGAAGUCUGUCCAUUAGCACAUUGAUUCCUUCAUCGAGAUUGCUUAUCCUUUGACUCCAUCCCAUCAAAAUAUCACCUAGAAGUUGUUUCUGUAAUGGAAGCAAACCACAGUUUUUGGAGACUUCUCUAAUAUUUGCAAGGAAGCUAAUGCCCUCAAAUUGACUAGAGAUUAGAUUAUAAACAACUUUGGCUAUAGUUGUCUUACCCACUCCACCUAUUCCACAGAUCCCAACCAUACGAACAUCAUUUGAUUCAAUACUUACUCGUAGAAGUAUUUCUUUCAAACGAGAAGACACUCCAACUAGAUGUUUGUCAACAUAUAACAAUUUUCGACUCAAUUUACUCAAAAUCUCUUCAAUAAUUUUCUUAAUAAGCUUCGACUCGUACCUGCCAGCCACAAAUCAUGACAAUACAUGUAACCUUAGGUUAAAAUAAGCUACAAAAAGUAACAGAUAUCAAAACUGAGCAAUCAGGAGGCAUUUCCAAUUAAUAAUGUGAUGUUCAUCAAAACUGACUUUUUUUUAAGAGUGGCCACCGAAGUACAUACUUGCACUCGUUAAUACAGCAGAGGGAAUUGAUGUGGGACAAAAUGUCCAUGUCAGUUACAACCCAUGGAAGAUUUUCCUUUUCCCUAUGGUUUUCAUUUUUCAAGAUUUUAUUACUCUACUUUCUUAGUUAACUGUAUCAGCCACUAGGGACUUAAAACAGAUCCCUAUAGUUUCUUAUAUUAGAUAGCCCCAAUUUUAGAAAAUUGUUAUUAUUUGAAGGAUUUUAUAGAUCCUAUAAAGUAGCCUCCUACCUUAGAAACCCACCAAAAAACAACCUGAAGAAUAGUAUCAUUCAAUUGCUUUAUGGUGUCAUAUCUUCAGUAGAGUACUAAUGACAUGUUAUACAACUUUUUUGUUCUAUUUUAUCUAGAACAAGUGUAGAAUAGUAGAUGAUAUCUUGUUAACCCAAACAAAACAGAACAUCCUGCUAUUGAUAGUGUUACUUUUUAAAAAACAAAAACAUUUUUCUCAUCUAUAUUUUCUCUAGAAGAAGGUACAAGCAAGAACAAAAUUUUAUUGGCAAGAGUGUCAAUUAUAGUUACCCAUUCUGCAGGUGCCAUCCAGAUAAAUUGGCUGCUUGAGUCAAGGCAGCUCUCCACCUUUUAGCCCUCUCUAUCACCUCUGUGUCUUCUCCAUGACUAGCAAAUGCUUCCAUGAAACUCCCAGUCUGCUUCCGGACAUGGGUCGGAUCCACAUCAUAGAAAACUGGAAGAACUGUCUGUCCCUUCGCUUUCAUGCACUCAAUGAUCUUCACUAGCUCAUCCAUACACCACCCCGAACGAGCAUAAUUCUUGGAGAAAACCACCACGGAAAUUCUUGAUUCUUCGAUAGCUUUCAAAAGCUCUGGUGCAAUCUCUUUUCCUCUCUCAAGUUCUUCGUCAUCUCUAAAAGUGCGAACCCCUUUCUCAACCAAAGCAGCAUAGAGAUGAUCGGUAAAACUCCUGCGGGUGUCUUCACCUCUGAAACUCAGGAACACGUCAUAAUUCCAGUGAGAAGCAGAAUCUUUUUGGUUGAUCAUUGAAGAGGCCAUUGAAGAUGAUUCCCCCAAGACUAGCUUCUCUGCAGAUUACAUUUGUUUGGGUUUUUCAAAGCCUUAUGUCCAAGACUGGUAAAGGAAAAGAAGUUUUCUGCAACUCUGGAACACACAGCUAAAGCGGAAAGACGAUGUCUGAGCAUUCACGGAAUCCAACGGACAAGAAUAAACCUUUUUCUGGAGGGUGGGUGACCGCAAUAAUUGCGUACGUUCAAAGAAGAACAGUGCGCACUUUCGCUUUGGGCCAAUCAUCUUAAAGGCUUAGUAGGUUGUGAUAAUGGCCGUAAAAGUCAGAAAAAAUGUAAAAUUGCUGUAUGAACAAAACCCAGACGUGUGCGUGUUGUAGUUUUUUACCGUGGCCCCAUGCCUUCUUCCAUUUUUUUAUUUUUUAUUUUUAUUUUUUACUCUCUUUUUCAUGUAUAUAUUUUUUUUUCUAGAAAUUUUUUAACAUUAGAUUGACUAUUGGUUGGUUUUUAAUGUAGGUCCCAUGCCGUCGUCUAUUUUUUUUUUAUUUUUUUUGCCUCUCUAUUAUAUAUAUAUAUAUAUAUAUAUUUUUUUUUUUUUCUAAAAUUUUUUUAACAUGACAUUGAAUACUAUUAUUAUUAUUAUUAUUAUUAUUAUUAUUAUUAUUAUUAUUAUUAUUCAUUACUACAAAAAUACUUUAUGGUGUCAUUAUUUACGGUGUCACUUUUAAAAUAAUGACACCAUAGGGUUUAUAAUUAAUAAAGGUGACACAUUAUAUAAAAAAUCUUCAAUUGAGGUAGUUAGAUGAUAUUAAUUUUAUAUUUAUAGUGUCAUUUUUUGGGAAGUGACAUCAUAUAAAAUAAAUUUUUUUAAGUAUUAUAACUUAAUGAGCCCACUUUUAGAAUUAAUAAUGAUGGAUACUAUAUAAAAAUCCCAUUGUUUCCAUAUCUCACCCACAAUCCAAAAAAUCUCAAUAUAUAAAUCCUAUAUAUAAAAUCAUGAUCUUCUUCAACCUUUUCUCUCACCCAUCCAUAGUCAACACGCUCAAAACCGACAUUCUUCACUUUGUGGACUCCCAGGUAACCCAAAAUCUCUUGGAUCUAUCAUUUUUUUUCUUUUAUUAAUGUCAUUUUAUUAAUUGUUUCAACAUCUUUGUAUUAUGGUUUUUGUGAAUUGUGUUUUCUUGAGUUGUAGGGAAGAAAAAUUUAGGUUUAAUCUUCAAGCAUGGAAGAAAAAACUAUAGAUUAAUUGAUUUUUUUAAUCUAAACCAAACACAUGAUCAAGUCCUUAAAAAAAAGUGAAAAAUAGGAAAAAAUGAAUGAUUUUUAAUAUGUAUUUGUGUGAGAAUGACAGGUACAGAAUUUUUUUAAGAUAUACUAUCACAUAAUCUUCAUCCUUUUUAAAAAACAAGAGAGGAAAAAAAAAAAGAAUGAUUUUUCUGUUUGUAUCUUAGUGGGAAUGAGAUAUAGAAUUUCGUUGAGAGUAUCCAACCCCAAAAGGACCAAUCCGGGAAGGCAUGUGUGGUAUUGACGGGAGAUGAUAAGAUGGAAAUCAUAACCAUAGCCAUGUUCUCUCUGUGUCUUUCUAUCCUCUUCAAUUAAUUCAUGGGCAUAGAUAUUUUAUUUAGUUUUUAUAUUUAGUUUAUUUAUAGUUUAUUUAGUUUCUAAAAUCCAAUUAGUUAGAUAUUUCAUUUGAUUUUGUUUUUAUAUUUAAGUAUUUGAGUUUUGGAAAGUUUUUAUAUUUUGUUAAUAGAAAGAGAAAUUUUUAUAUUUUUUAUUAUUAUGAAUUUCUAUUUUGUUAAAUUGUAAGUAUCUAUCUCAAUAAGAGAUUAUUAAUAUUCAAAUGAAAGCGAUGAAAGAGAGUAAAUAUUUUAAUGCUCAAUUAUAUUUUAAUGUUAUUUUUUUUUUAUAUAAGGGUUUAUUUAUGUUUUCAAUUUUGAAGUUCCCUUUCCAAGUCCAACAACAAAAGUAGUGUCGAACCUUAAAAUGGGCAUGUGUGGUAUUGACGGGAGAUGAUAAGAUGGAAAUCAUAACCAUAGCCAUGUUCUCUCUGUGUCUUUCUAUCAUCUUCAAUUAAUUCAUGGGCAUAGAUAUUUUAUUUAGUUUUUAUAUUUAGUUUAUUUAUAGUUUAUUUAGUUUCUAAAAUCCAAUUAGCUAGAUAUUUUAUUUGAUUUUAUUUUUAUAUUUAAGUAGUUGAGUUUUGGAAAGUUUUUAUAUUUUGUUAAUAGAAAUAAAAAUUUUAUAUUUUUUAUUAUUAGGAAUUUCUAUUUUGUUAAAUUGUAAGUAUCUAUCUCAAUAAGAGAUUAUUAAUAUUCAAAUGAAAGUGAUGAAAGAGAGUAAAUAUUUUAAUGCUCAAUUAUAUUUUAAUGUUUUUUUUUUUUUUACAUAAGGGUUUAUUUAUGUUUUCAAUUUUGAAGUUCCCUUUCUAAGUCCAGCAACAAAAGUAGUAUCCAACCUUAAAAUGGGCAUGUGUGGUAUUGANNNNNNNNNNNNNNNNNNNNNNNNNNNNNNNNNNNNNNNNNNNNNNNNNNNNNNNNNNNNNNNNNNNNNNNNNNNNNNNNNNNNNNNNNNNNNNNNNNNNACAUAGUUUUAGGCUCACAAAAGUUAUGCAUAUUAAUGUUAUUUUUUUAUUUGAUUUUAGUGUGGUAAAAAAAAAAACAUAUUCUCACGUAGAGUUCGAUGAAAUUAGAGGAGAGUGGGCUAUUUUUGUGCUACACACAUGGAAGAAAAUAUCUGUAAUCACGGAUAUAUCGGUAUUUCGAUUUUACGGAUAUAUCGGAGAUAUAUUGGCAGAUAUUCUAGAAAAAAAUAUUGGUAGACAUAAAAUUGUUAAAAACUCACGGAAAUGCAAGAAAAACCUCAUAAUAAUAUAUUUAGAAGUAUAAUUGACAUUUUAAAGUUGUUUUAUUGAAAAAAUAGAUAUAUAUAUAUAUAUAUAUAUAUAUAUAUAUAUAUAUAUAUAUAUAUAUAUAUAUAUAUAUAUAUAUAUAUGAUAUAAUUUGCGAUAUUAGAUGUAAUUACAUCAUGUCGAUCUAUAAGAAAUUUUAAUUUUGUAAUUGUUCUCAUUAUAAAGUCACAUAAAAUAUUCCAUUUCAUUAAAUAUCAAUAAUUUGUACACAUUAAAUUCAUUAAAUAAACAUAUUUCAUAUUCAAAAUAUACUAUUUCAUGUUAAUUAAAUUAAUUAAAUAAUUUAGCAUGUUAAUUAAAUUAAUUAAAUAAUUUAGCUAAGUUAACUAGUUUAAUUUAAUUCUAAAUGUGAAAAUAAAUCACAAAUAAUCAUCUAAAAUAAACAUAUCAAUUUAUAAUUAAAUAAUCAAAUUAACCUAAGUUAAUUCAAUAAAAAUAUAAAAAUUAAUUACAAUUGAAUGUAAAAAUAGCAUUAAAUCAUCCAUAUUGCAAACAUACUAAUUAAUUGAAAAUACAUGAAUUAAUUACAAUUGCAAACAAAAUUAAUUAUAAUUUAAAACAAAUAUACCUUAAAAUAAUUAAAUAAUUGAGCAACCUUAAUAAAAAUUGGAGAAAUGAGAGAGCAAAUGAAGAAUGAAAACAAAAAUGGAUGAAAUAGAUGAAAUUUGGGUUAUUUAUAGAAUAAAUUUGGGCCAAAAUAGCCGUUGGAACAUUAAUUUACUGUUGAAAAUCAAUUUUAGCCGUUGGAUAAAAAACUGGGAGCAAUCGGGCCGUUGGAUCGCCAUAUUACCAUUGGAAUCACAUCUAGGCCGUCGGAUCAACACGGGCGUGAUCUGGGCCGUCAGAUCACGUUGCAUGAAGGAGGGGAAAUAUCACCAAAAAAUCAGCGAUAUAUCUCCGAUAUAUCACCGAUUUUUUGCCACCAGAGGCGAUUUUUUGAAAAAAUCUCCGAUAUAUCUCCCCGAACUGAUAUAUCGCCGAUAUUUUGGCGAUAUUUACGAAAAUAUCUCCUCUCCGAUUUUUCUCCAUGAAAUAUCGUGUCGACCUCUCCCGAUACACAAUAUAUCGGCGAUAUAUUGCCGAUAUAUCCAGAUAUUUUCCUCCAUGGCUACAACUAAUCAUGAAUCAUGUUGAUGCAUCAUGAUCACCAUUCAUGGUGAGUCCCUUAGCUACUACAUGAAUUUUUCCAUAGGUAUUGUAUAGUAAUGCUUAUUCUUUGAAUAAUGUUUCUAUUUGAAAAAAAAAAUUAAUUCUUAGAUUUGUUCAUUUAUGAUAACAUAGAUCCAUGUUUAUUUUCUUUAAUAAAAAUCUCUAAAACUCAUUAAAUUUUGAAAUGCAGGUAUACACUCUUGGGAUGGUGAAAUGGAGAAUAAAAAGAAAGAAGAAGGCAACAAGAUUUUGGGUUAUUAAAUGCAACUCUUAUGUCAUACGUUGUAGGACAUAAACGUUACUUUAAUUGCAACUGAGAAAUUUAGAUUUUUAGAUGGGACUUCUAUGUCAUUUUAUGGUUAGCCGGUUUUAUGCUUAUGAAAUGGAGGUAUACAUGAAUCUUGGGAUCUUUAACAUUUCUAAAUCAUGUUUUGGUAUGUAUUCACUUUUCUUUUUUAGUUUUGAUGGGUUUGAUAUGUUGGACGUACUAUCCUUUUGUGAACAUUUGAUAUACAAAUAUUAUUAGAUGAUCAAUGUAUUAUGAGUUAUUCCAGAAACAUUACAGAAAAAUGAGUUAAAUAUAAUAUGAUUGUUAUAUUUAUGGACAAAAUAUAAACAGGUUAAUCUUAUUAAUUCAUAAGCAUUACAAAAAUCAACAACUAAAACCAAUCAUAUAUUCCACAAUAAUUUACAAUGAUGUGAUACCAUAACUCAAAGGUGAUGUAUUUAAUGUGACAUCAUAACUCAAAGAUGAUGUAUUUAAUGUGACACCCUAUCAUCACUAGAAAUAUAUGGUGUCACUUCUGAAUGGGUCACCAUUUAUCUACUUUGGUGUCACUUCCAAAUACGUCACCAAUUGGUACCCUCUAUGGUGUCAGUGAAGAAGGUGACGCUAUGUUAUAGUGAUACCUUAUGUUUAUGGUGACUCAUUAUAAAUGUCACCAUAUACCUUUUUCCUUGUAGUGAUUAUAAUAACUAUUGUUUAUUUUUCAUAUUAUUAUUAUUAUUAUUAUAAUUUUCUUGUGUUUAUUCAGUAUUAAUCAAUGAUAAAAAUAUCAGCAAUAACAGAUAUAUCAAUAUUUCAAUUUUACAAAUAUAUCAAAUAUAUCAGAGAUAUAUCGACGGAUAUUAUGAGAAAAAAAUUUGAUAGGCCUAAAAUGAUUCAAAACUCAUGAAAAUGUAAGAAAAACCUCAUAACAACGUAAUUAGAAGUAUAAUAGACAUUUUAAAGUUGUUUUGUUGAAGAAUUUGAUAUAUGUAUGAUAUAAUUUGUGAUAUUUGAUGUAAUUACUCCUCCUGCAUUAUCACCUUCAUCAUCAAUUCCACCUCUUGAACCAUCGUAAUCAGAAACAGAAGUACUUGUAGCAUUAGGUCUACUACUUUGGCAAGCACUUAUGGAGUCAACCUCUUAGUGGGAAUUCAAUGUCGCCUGAAAUGAAUCUUCAGUAGCUUUGCUAAAACUUUCAAAGUGAACUUCUUCAGACAACACACGUUUAACAUUAAGUCGAAAUUCUCCAGCAUAAGCAGCAAUUCAUAGAUCAGGAUUUCCAACUUCAUCAUCCAAGUGCAUAGGUCUAACCCAUUCAAACAACUGAUUAUCUUCUUCUUCACCCACCUUGGUUGAAAUGUCAAAAAGAUUAAGGUAAUCUUUUUCAACAACUCAAUCAUUUUCUGCCUCCAUAUCGCGUAACUUUAGCCUGAUAUUAUUAUAACAAAAAACUAAUUAUUCCAGUCGAGGGUAAGCCAAAUGAUUUCAUUGCUUUGUGUGGAUGAGAGCAAACAUGCUCUAAUUUCUCUCACAGACAGAAGAUGAUGCAGUUUGUGACAGAACUUUGAGGGCCAACUUCUUCAAUGUAGGUGUUUGAUUUCAUACAUGAACCACCAUUCAGAUGCAACCAAUUUCAUAAUUAUAUAAAUACUUAUGUGAUGAAUUUACAAUAAUGAUAAUCAAUUUUGUUCCUAUAAAUACUCAUCGGGCACCAUGGUCGACCAUGCUGUAAUCGUUGCUUGAUCACUAAAUCCUUUCUUUGCAUCUCGAAAAAGCACAAGCUAUGUAUUCAACAUUUAAUUUGUUAAUAUCAUAUAUGUUAGUAAACGUUCAAAUAAAUUGAUGAAUGAAAUUAUUGUUUUAUUAAAUUGAGUAAAAUAACUUUUUUUUUAUUUACCUCAUUUCCAAAUUGACCAAGUGAUUCAAUAGUUGGGUCUAAUUUUGCAAAAACAUUAUGGACCGCUUGAAGUAGUUUCGAAUCACUACCAACUCCAUGCCUAUAUUGAAAUCUUGGAUUCAAGAAGUAUGCUACAAUAAAAUUAAGUAGGUUUAGUAUUUUGUUGGAGAAAAUUAAAUAAAUUAAAAGUAAAAACUUAUAAAGAUAGAUAGUAUUUAAGUACCUACUGCAUGAAGUGGAUGUCUCAGUGUUUUCUCCCAAUAAUCUUUUAUUAUUUUGAAGAUCCAAUCUCCAACUCCAGCUCCUUGAUGAAUGAGGUUCUCUUUCAUCACGUGCAUAAGCUUGUACAUAAACAUCAUUAUGGGAACAACUUCAGAAUCCAUAAGCCAAAGCACCACGUAUAAUGGCUCAUAUAAUGAAACCAUAUUUGUCACUUUAUCCCAAUACGAAUGGUCAAACAUUAAUUGUUCCAAAUCUCAUCCAACUUUUGUUUGACUAAGCUUGUGUUGUGCCCAUUCAUCACUCAUAAACAAUCUUUUCAAAUCAACCAUUUUUUUUAAGAAGACUGUCAAAAGCAAUAUAAUUAGUAGCAAACCUAGUAGUUCUCAAUCGAACAAUGUCUCCACCAGAAUACUUUCUCAUUUGUGUAAGUAACCAACCAUGGUUGUAAAUGAAGUUGGUUAUCUUGCGAGCAUUGUAUAUCACAUCUAUAACACUAGGUCUUUUGAUAAUGUCUUCAAAGAUUAAGUCAAUACAAUGCGUUGUGCACAAAGUCCAAUAUAAGUUAAACUUCUUCAUCAAUAGCUUCCUUUCUUUCAUGAAUGCCGACCCAUUAUCUAUGACAAUUUGGACCACAUUUUAUUGAUCGACUUCUUUUAUAACAAUCUUCAAUAGCUUGUAUAUAUACUUGUAGUCUUUUAUAUUGUUCGAUGCAUCAACUGACUUAAGGAACAUCGUGGUCCCUUUUGGAUAAACCAUGAAAUCAAUAAUACUUAAUUCCGUGGUCAUGUCCAUCCAUUUGACAUUAUUGUGCACUCAUAUGUCUUCCAUUUUUCUCUUUAUUGGUUCACAUAAGCUUCCACUUCUUUGUACUCAAUUUCAAAGCACUUAUUCUUUAUUUUAUAUGGAGAUGGAGGUUCGAUUCGCAUUCCUGCAAUUCAUAUAUAACAAUUAUUUAAAACAUGUCACAAAAGACUAUACUUACUAAAAGUCUGAAACAAUAUAAGAAUUCAAAAAUUAGUAAUUAUUUGUUUGCUAUGCACCGAUAAUCAUAUUCUUGAAGUGAUGAGAAUUUGCUUUUUGGGGUGCGAUGCUCUCAUAAAUGAAGAAUUUGCUUAUUAAGUGUCCCAUCAUUUCUUUAAUUGAACCACCCUUGAAUAUAUCUUUGAUAUUUUUUUUGUCUUGCUGCAGAAGAGUUGUAGAGCAAAUGGGCAAUAGGUGGUGAUUGGUUUGAAUGUUGCAUACUUUGUGAUUUCCGCAUCGUCGUUGGUGUACUAGUAGGAUGUGAAGACUCUCCUAUUUUAUGUUUGCUUUCUACGAUGUUCUCAUAUUGUUGAUGCUCCCAUUCUGUCGCUUUUGAGGCACAAACUACAGAUCGAUGUGCAUACCACUCAUCUGGGUGCAUAUUUGUUGGAUACAUAUACACAUCUUGAUCCUCGACAUCUUCAUCAUCAUCAUCUUCAUUUAUCAGAUGUGUAUCACCGACCCCCAUUGUGCCACAUAAUUUAGCACGAAUCUCUUGAAUAUUUGCAACUUUCUUUGCUUUUGCUUUAGUUUUGUUAUACACCAUCGAUCGUAUCCCUUCUUUCACUUCGAGAGGCACUCUAGGACACUUUUUCGUGUUGUGAUGAGAGUCUUUAUGCGUUAAUUAGAACUUGAAUCGCGUGAUGCCUUCACUUUUCAUUAACAAUCCACAGAAAUUACAAAUUAUCUCAUUUCUGUUCCCCUCUACUUGUGAAUAAUACUUCCAAGUUAGAUCUCGCCCUAACAUGGGAGGGCCACCUCCACUCCCACUAUCCAUUCUAAAUCUAUUGCAAAAAAAAUACAAUUGAAUGUGAUUUCAAUGUAAAAAAAAGUAAGUAAACAUUUAAAAUUAACAUGUUGCAAUUGAAUGUGAAAAUAAAAUAAAAUAAUAAUGUAAAAUGUACUAAUUCAUGUAAAAUAAAUUAAAAUAAUUAUCUAAAAGGAACAUAUUUGAUAUACCAAAUAUACUAAUUCAUGUUAAUUAAAUUAAUUAAAUAAUUUAGUUAAGUUAAUUUAUUAAAUCUAAAUCUAAAUCUGUCGAAAAUUUACUAAAUAUACUAAUUAACUAUAAUUGAAUGUGGAAAUCAAUUAAUAUAAUCAUCUAAAAUGAGCAUAUUUGAUAUUCCAAUUAUACUAAUAUAUGUUAAUUAAAUUAAUUAAUUAAUUUAGCUAAGUUAAUUUACUAAAUCUAAAUCUAACUAGAUUGAAUGUGAAAAUAAAAUAAAAUAAUCAUCUAAAAUGAACAUAUCCAUCUAUAAUUAAGCAAUCAAAUUAAGCUAAGUUAAUUCAAUGGAAAUAUACAAAUUAAUUAUAAUUGAAUAUAAAAAUAACAUUAAAUCAUUCAUAUUGCAAAUAUACUAAUUAAUUGAAAAUAUAUUAAUUAAUUAUAGUUAAAAACAAAAUUAAUCAAAAUUUAAAACAAAAAUACCUUAGAAUAAUUGAAUAAAUGAGUAAUCUUAGAAAAAUUAUGAGUAAUGAGAGAUCAAAUGAAGAAUGCAAUCAAAUUUGGAUCAAAUUGAUGCAAAAUGAACCAUUUAUAGGAAAUUUUUGGCCAAAAUAGCUAUUAAAAGAUCAUUUUAUCGUUGAAAAACAUUUUUGGCCAUUGGAUCAAAAUUUAGGCGAAAUCUAACCAUUGGAACAUGAAAUAGUCGUUGGAAUACCAUCCCAACCGUUGGAUCAAACCCAUAUUCAAUCUAGGGCGUUGGAUGGACUAACAACAUGACCAUUGCAAAUGGGUGUGAUCUAGGCUGUUAGAUCAAUGCGGGCGUGAUUUGGGCCAUCAGAUCAACUCGGGAGUGAUCUGGGCUGUUAGAUCAAUGUGGGCAUGAUCUGGGCUAUUAGAUCAACAUGGGCGUGAUCUAGGCUAUCAGAUCACGCUAAAAAAAGGGCGGUGAUUUUAUUUGAAAAAAUCGAUGAUUUAUCGUUGAUAUAUCAUCGAAAUAUCGGCGGUUUUCCAUAGUGUGAGUUGAUUAAUUGAAUGAAUUGCCGAUUUAUCGCUCACAACCGAUAUAUUGACGAUAUUUUAGGGAUAUUUCUCGAUUUUUCUCCUUCCCGAUAUAUCAUUAGGAAAUAUCAUAUUGAGGUCUUUCGAUACACGAUAUAUCGGGUAUAUAUUGUUCAUAAAUCGCGAUAUUUUCGUCCUUGGUACUAACACAUUCCUUCAAAAAUUGAAAUAAUAACACAUAAUAGAAAAAAAUUGUUUUUAAUAAUUUUGAAGUACACAUUUUUUUAAACAUUUAAUGCUAUCAAUAUUUAAAAUUUUGUAACCACUAAUAUUAUUUGUAUUUAUAAUAAAAUUUUUAUAUUCUUAUCAUGUUUUUUAUAUAAGGCUUAUUGAUUACUACUCAAAAAGUGCUAUUUUAUAGCUUGUAAUUAACUAUUUUAAACACUUUUGAGUAGUAAACUUGGGGAUUAGCUUCAUGAGAGUAGGAAGUUGCAUGUUGAUUCUAUCCAUACGUCACAUCUUUACCUGAUUUUACCUCUUCGAACCUGUUGCAGUCCUGUCCAUUGAUCUAUCCUCUAUUGCAAUCUUCUCAACUGGUACAAACCAUGAAGGGAAUCCAUGAAAUUAGAAUGAAGUAGCAAGAUGAGGAGGUGACAACCAUGGAAGUACAGGUGUUGCAUCACAUUAAGUGCAAUCAACCUCUUGAGCACAACCAGAAUAUAAAUAUUAUAUAUAUAUAUAUAAAAAGACAAAUGUGUUUCACCAUGUGCACAACCUAUUAGGUUAUAUGAAUGUGUUUGUGGAUGUGAAUGCACAUAUGGACAUAUAAUCCAACAUGCGAUGUGCAUAAAUAGGUAUAACUAUUAGGACAUUGAGUCUUAAUGUAUGUUAGCAAUUUUCCUCCAGUUUAUUUUUUUCGGUAGGAAUCUUUUUAAAUAAGUGACUUACUCUCCAUUGAAGAUCAAGAGUUGUUGUUCACUCAACUGAGAAUUACAUGUAUGUCUAAGAAGGUUUAAUUUGUGGCAAGUUAGGCUCCUAUAAGGUAUAAAGAGGAAUGAUAUUUUUUUGGAAUUAAAUUGCAUUUUAUUUUAAAAAGGUAAAAAUACAGGGGACGCUUAAGAGGAUAGCAGUGCUCAAGUGCUAUGACCACUCAAGCUCUUGACAUCGCUUAAGAGCCCAAGAUGCUCAAGUGGUGGUUAAGUGUGCUCGAGCACUCAUGCCGAUUCUAUUGAGUUUUGGGAGAAUAUUUUUUUAGAAUUUCCUGCAAAUUCUAUUUGGAAACCUUAUGAUACCGAACCUCUUUGACAUAGGUGUCCUAGAGUGUUUGGUGGAUUCUAGAUCGAAUUUUUUAACUAACUCCCUAGAAUACUUGGUUGAGAAAGAAAGAUUCUAUCUUUUAAUUGCCUAAUCAACAAUCCUAGAAAGAAGGUUAGUUCACCCACUAUACACAUUUCAAAUUCAGUCUUAAUCUCUUUGAUAAAACUAAGGGCAAUGUCACUAGGGGUGGCUCUAAAAACUAUAUCAUCUACAUAAAUCUGAGUCAUUAACAACUCAUUCUUGGACAUAUGAAUAAACAAGGUUUUGUCAACUCUCAUUUUCUCAAACUUUUUCUCUAAAAGAUAGGUUAUGAGCCUCUCAUAGCGAGCUAUAGGAGCUUGCUUUCCUUCAUAAAGAGCUUUCUUUAAUCUAUAGAUAUGAUUGGGGAAUUUCGGAUCCUCAAAACCCUUAGGUUUCUCAACAUAAACCUCUUCACUUAGAAUCUCAUUCAAAAAACAGCUCUUGACAUUCGUUUGGUAAAGCUUUAUCCUUAAGUAGCAUGUUAUUGCCAAAAGAAUCCUAAUAGAUUUUAAUCUAGCUACAAGUAAAAAUAUCUCUUCAUAAUCAAUCAUUUCUAUUUGUGAGUAUCCUUGGGCAACUAAUGUUGCUUUGUUUUUCACAAUGACAUCAUUUUCAUUUUAUUUGUUCUUGAAAAUCCAUUUUGUACUUAUGAAAUGUUUAUCUUUAAGCCUAGGGACUAAAUACCAUAUAUCAUUCCUAGUGAAUUGAUUAACUCUUCCUAGAGUGCAGUAGUCCAAGAUUCAUCACCUAAAGCUUCUUCCACAUUCUUUGGCUCUAAUUAGGAGGUGUAGCAUACAAAAUUCAUCUCACUUAAUAUUGAUUGUCUCAUAGUAAUCACACGUUCAUUUACAUUACCUAUAACAUUUGAGAUUGGGUGGUUCUUAGGUAAUUUAGAUCUAUGCUUACUCCUCGUUAUUUUAAAAGUGUCAUCUAGAGAUACAUUUUCCUUCUUAUUGGGAUCAAUAUCUUUUUUGAGGAUAUCAUUAGGGUUAUCUUUUGUGAUAUCCACAUCUUUAGGGUUAUCCUCAAUAGAAUCCUAAGUUAAAAUUUGACUCUCAAUUAUAUCCUGAUCAUACCCAGUAUUAUUUAUAACCACAUUAAAGGAUUCCUAGAUGACUUGUGAAUAUUGAUUAUAAACCCUACAGGCUUUACUCAUAGUAUACUAGCCUAGGAAGAUACCUACAUCAGAUUUAACAUCAAACUUUCCAAGGUUCUCCCCAUCCCUAAGUAUAUAACAUUCACUGCCAAAAGUCCUAAAAUACUUAAGGUUAGGGUUUCUUCUAGUCUAUAUUUCAUAAGAUGUCUUAUUUGUUUCAAGCCUAAGAAAAACCCUAUUAGUAGUAUAACAUGUUUUAUUUAUAGCUUUUGCUCAAAAUUGCAUGGUUGUAUUAUGCAUAUGAAUCAUUUCCCUAGCCAUUUCUUAUACCACUAUUUUUUCUUUUAGUCACUCCAUUUUGUUAAAGAGUUCUAGGGGUUGAAAAUUCAUGUUUAAUUCCUUUAGACUUGCAAAAGAGGUCAAGAUCCACAUUGUCAAACUCUCUCAUCCUAUCACUCCUAAUCCUUACAAUUGGAUGACCUAUUUCCACUUGUAUUCUAUUGAAUAAAGACUUCAAGUGCUCUAUGGUCUUUAAUUUCUCUUUAAGAAAACUCACAAAUGAGUAUUUCGAAAAAUCAUCCACAACAACAAGGACAUAUCUCUUGUCACCUCUACUUUUUGUAUGCAUUAGACCUAUAAGAUCCAUAUGAAGCAAGUCUAAUGAUUUGGUGGUCCUAAUUUCCUUAACUUUUUUGUGAAAACUUUUAGUUUGUUUACCUUUCAUGCACUCUCCACAAAUGGGUUUAGGUUCACCACUAAGUCUAGGGAUAUCUCUAACGUUUUUUCUAUUCACUAAGUGCAUAAGGUCCCUAUAGUUUAUGUGACCUAACCUUUUAUGUCAGGGUUCAGUAGGAUCUAGCUUUGCCCUACUACACACAAGAGGUGUUCUAGAAUUAGGAUUUAUUACAUAACAGUUGUCAACUGUCCUCUGUCAAGAUAUCAUGUGUUCAGAGGAUGCAGAAUGGUGGAGAUAGAAAGUGUGUUGAUGGUGCAUAGAUGAUAGUCAGAUGGUGGAGCCUGCGUGUGAUGGUAACUGAAAUCUAAAAACUAGCGAGAUGAAGAUGUGGGUGCAGUGUCCAAAUGAUGGAACUGGUGUUUUGGUACAGAUCUUCAAUGGCGAUGGUGUGUUCUCCUUCUAGAGAUGGAGAUGGUGCUUAUUCUAAUGCCGAAAACUGAAGCUUGUAGAAAACACUAGGUCAUGUCGUGUUGAUGCAAUGCCAUGAUGAUCUAUUCUUCCUCUCUGUCCAAAAAAAAAACCCACUGCAAGAUGGAGAGGAUUCUUUUUCCUGGUCGGCAUGUCUUCUCCUCCAUUGAAGCUUCUCGAAUCCAUUAGACACACAAUCCUCAUGCUACCAUAUGCUAGAUGCCAACAGAAAGAUAGAUGCUUCUUCCAGAGUCUUCUGAAAGCCAUGAGUCUUCAUAAAUCCAUCUCAAACCGUGUCUUCAUCUCUUGAGAAUCCCCUCAAUAUUCAUCUUUAAUUUCUUUUUCCACUUUUUAAAAAUUAUGUCUAUCCCUUAAACUCUCACAAAAUGUCCACACCUACCUUUCAAUCUUAAUAUGGUAUCCAUCCCAUCUCCAAUGACCAUGCAUCCAAGGAAAUCCCACCUUCCAAAUAUCAAUCUCAAUGUGACCGUGCACACCUUCCAUACACUCUCUACAAAAUUUCAAAGUUAAUAGAUUAAAUAAAAUAAUAAUAAUAAUAAUAAUAAAAGUAAAACAUUUAAACACAAUUAGUAAAAAAGAAAGAAAAAUCCCAGGCCUAACUCAAGACUGCCAAGGGUCGCAAUAAAGGGUCAGAUAAAUCCCUCAACCAGAGUGUGAGGUGGCUCAAAAAAAGAUAAGCUACAUGAGUAGUAAUGGGCCACUAAGGAACUAUUGUGGAGCAUUGGAAGUAAACUUAAAGACAUGUGUUAAAGGGACAAAAUGGAAGAUCUACAAUGAUAUUUAAAACUUUCAUAGAUGGUUUGAACAUUAAUGCUUUUAGAAAAGUCAUUAAGUCAUUGUUUACUUAGUCAGACUGAUUAUUUAAGUGCAAUCAAAUCAAGAUAUCAACAUGAGAUUAUUAAUAUAUGUUAUAUAUUAUUAAACUUUAAAAUAACUAUAACUAAAUAUAAUUUAAAAACUUAAAAUAUUUCAUCAUUUUGUUUUUAACAUUAACAAAUUAAACAGUGAUAAGAUAAAAUUUAAAUAUAAUUGGGCUUUUUAUUGUUACUAUAUAUAUAUCAAAUAUAAUAAUUUUUAAGAUAAUAGCAUGAUAGAAUAUAUAAGUAUUUUAUAUUUUUUUUAAUAUUUAAAUUUAUAUUUAUAGUAUUUCAUAAAAUUAGAAAUAUUAAUACAUGUUUAUUUUAUCUUUAUCGUAAUUAUCAUUUAAUCUGUUGAAUGUUAAAACAUAAAAAAAUAAAUAAAUAAAACAUUAGUAUUAUAUAUUUUAAUUUUCUUAUAAUUAUUUUAAAUUUUAACAAUAUAAAAUAUAUAUUUAAGAUGUAAUAUUAAUGUUUUCAUAAAUAAAGCAGAACCCAACAAUAUUUUACUUAAAAUAUUAAGUAAAAUCGUCGGAUCUAUAUGCUUAGACUAAUCAAGUGAUCCAUGGGUUCUACAUCGAUUUGUUUGCAAGAUGGUCAAAAAGCCAACCCCAAUCGCAAAAAGAAAACAGGAAUGAAUUUUAUAUAUAAAGUAUAUACUAGUUAUUGUCAUGACGCGUUCAUAUAGUUUGUGGCUAUCGAAUAUUUAUGAAAAAAUAGGUGGUGGUUGUUAGAUACAAUUUUUUUUGUUUUUUUGUUUUUUUGAAAUAUGAUUAGAAAAUGAUUAAAUUGCUGGUGUAACUAAUAUUCUUUUAUUAUUUAAUUUUAUAUAAAUCAUAUAUUUAUAUUUUCAUGUCGAUGUCACGGUUUUGAAAAUACUGAUGUUUAUAUGAGGCUGCAAUCACAUAUAUAAAAGGCAGAUAGUGGCUAUUUUUACAAGGAGCGUAGCCGGUGGUAGUAGAAUAUACAUGUAUAAAAAAAUAAAAAAAAAUAAAAAAAUUAUUAGAGACAUUAAAGGUGGUCGGUGGUCUUAUGCCUGUGAGCUUUUCAGCUUCCGUUCCCACGUACCGAGGUUGAGUUUUGUUAACUGGACCAAACAACCCACUAGCCGAAGAAGUAAUUGAAGUGAGUGGUGAAUUUCGAGAUUCGAGAAUAAUUGUAAACAACUAAUGAGAUUUAGGAUAAGUAAAAUUUUAUAUGAACUGAUAGUUUUAGCCACCCCACGCGGAAUCAAUAAUAAUUCCAUUGACAAAAAGACGAACACUCAUGCUGACCUUCUGACAUUGCACCCGCCUUCUAUUGAAAUUCAUUGCUUUUUUUCCCCCUACCAGUGUUUUCCUUUCCUUUCUACGAAGAAAUUGCCUAUGCUCAGCUGAGCCCUGAUAGUAAGAUCGUCGCUGGUAGCUUUAGCACACAACCUGUCAAUGGCUUCUGCGAACGUCCAUGGGCGUCUUCUUCUUCUUCUACUACUCCUGUCCGUCCAUGGGAUUACGAAGUUUUCUUUAGCUUUACGGGUGUCGAUACCCGCUACAGUUUCAUAGCUCAUCUCUAUGCAGCGUUGGAUCGGAAAGGGAUUGUUGCCUUUAUAGACGAGGGCCUUGAAAGAGGUGAAGAGAUCGCAUCAAGUCUUGUUACAGUUAUUAAGAAGUCAAGGUGCGCUUUAGUGAUUCUUUCCAAAAACUAUGCCCAUUCCAAAUGGUGUUUGAAGGAACUGACAAAGAUCAUGGAGUGUAGGGUAGAAAUGGGACAGAUAGUUUAUCCAGUUUUCUAUCAUGUGGAUCCUUCUGAUGUGCGAAAUCAGAGGGGCAGUUAUGGAGCAGCAUUAGCCAUGCAUGAAAGAAAUGGGUUGGGCCACCAGACACAGAGGUGGAGAGCAGUCUUGACAGAAGUGAUAGGAUAAACACAAACAAUGCACAACCAGAUUUUAUCUCCUCUUGUGAGAACCUAAUAGGAAUCAAUCAAAUAGAGCAACAAGAAUUCACCAAAUCAAUAGGUAUAUGAACACCAACAAUUUUUAGCAUGGAAAACCUUGUCCAAUGUGAGACGUAAAAACCACGGGACACUUAGGCCACUUAAAAACUUCACUAAUAUAAUCAAUGGGUUACACAAUUCUCUCUAAAUAAAACUAGAGGCAUACAUCAACCAUAUCUCAAAACAAAUUAAUCUUGGCAAUUUCAACAACUUUGCAUAAAGACAAUGGAGAAAUCUCAUUAAACAUAGCCAUUGUUCUCAGACUGAAAUAUAACUGUUCCAAACUCCAAAUCCAAUAUCCACUGUUCAUAAUGAAUAUUAAUGAGUUCUGAACGUAUUCACAAAAAAUCAGCUCAAUCGAACCACAGAUUAAUCUUGAUCGGAGCUCAUGAUCAAAAUUGUCCAAAUAGAAAACUCACCAAAAUAGAGGCUCUAUUCUCGAACUAAAAGACGACCGUCCGGAACUCCAAAUCUGAUCUCCACAAUUCAGAUUGAAGAUCAAUGAGUCACGAACCUCUUCUCCAAAUUUCAGGUCGAUCGGCCCACAGACGAAGCGAAAUUAGACAUUUGAUGAAAUCUAGACAAUGAAGAAACAAUGAGUUUUUCUCUCUAACUUCAAAAAUGGUGGUUCUCCCUUCUCUCUCUUUUCUCAUUCUACUCUAUUUUUUUUCUACCUCUGGUCGCUACAAAAAAAAAUUGGUAGAAGAAGAAGAAGAGGGAUUCUUCUUCUAACCAUUUUAUAUAAAGGCCUAAGAGGCCUUAAACUUUGUGUUCUUAAUUUGAGCCUUCCACAUGAGGAAAAACCCAACAAAUCUCUCCAUUUUCGAUUAUGUGGAGGGACUCGCCAUCUCGGCGAUUGAACAACAAACUUCAAGCUUUUCCCUUGGUAAGGACUUCGUUAACAUAUCUGAGCCAUUGUGAUCGGUAUUUAUCUUCUCAAGUUCAAACAAGUUGUCAUUGAGAGCAUAUAUCACCCAAUGAUACCUUAAAUCAAUAUGCUUCGAUCUUGUAUGAAAGGUAGAAUUCUUACUAAGGUGAAUGGCGCUCUGGUUAUCACAGUAUACCAUAUAACACUGUUGCUUAAACCCGAGAUCAUGUAUGAAACGCUUCAUCGACAACAACUCUUUACAUGAUUUUGUUGUUGCAAUGUACUCUGCUUCUAUUGUAGAAAGUGCAACACAUUUCUGUAGUCUUGAUUGCCAAGACACAACACCUCCUAAGAAUGUCAUCAAAUAGUCUGAAGUAGACAUUCUAUUAUCUACAUCCCCUACCAUGUUUGAAUCAGUGUAGCCAACAAGUACUGGUUUCCCACUUCUAAAAGUGAGUUUCAACUUGGAAGUGCCUCGCAAAUAUCUCAUAAUCCACUUGACUACCUCCCAAUGUAGUCUUCUUGGAUUAGAUAGAAAGCGGCUAACAACACCAACUGCAUAAGCUAUGUCUAGUCUAGUACAUACCAUGGCAUACAUCAAACUUCCUACUACCGAGGCAUACAGAACUCUUCUCAUGCCUUUCUUCUCCUUAUCUGUAGAAGGGCUAUGUCUGCUGCUUAGCUUAAAGUGACUAGUUAGAGGAGAACUAACCACUUUACCUUUGCUCAUGUUAAAUCUUUCAAGCACCUUUUAAUUAUAUUGCUCCUGUGACAUAUACAACUUCUUGGAUGCUCUAUCUUGCUCAAUUCUAAUACCAAGAAUUUUCUUUGCUGGCCCCAAAUCCUUCAUGGAAAAGGAUUUGCUUAAUUGCUUCUUCAACUUAUCAAUUCUUGAAACAUUUCUACCAACAAUCAAGAUAUCAUCAACAUAGAGCAACAAUAUAACAAAAUCAUCAUUAGAGAAUUUUUGCAUAAAUACACAAUGGUUAGAAGUAGUUUUUCGAUAGCCUUGCUCCCCCAUAACUGAUUUAAACUUCUUAUACCACUGCCUCGGUGUCUGUUUCAAGCCAUAAAGACUUUUCUUCAACUUAUACACAUAAUCCUUUUUUUCUUUUAUUGUGAAACCCUCUGAUUGUUCCAUAUAAAUUUCUUUGUCUAAGUCACCAUGGAGAAAUGCAGUCUUAACAUCCAUUUACUCAAUUUCCAAAUCAAGACUAGCUGUCAAGCCCAAAACUACAUGAAUAGACAACAUCUUAACAACAGGAGAAAAAAUCUCAUCAAAAUCAAUACCUUUCUUUUAACUGAACCCUUUGACAACCAAUCUAGCUUUGUAACGUGGUUGUGAAGUGUGUUCUUCUUGCUUCACUUUGUAAACCCACAUGUUCUUCAAAGCUAUUUUUCUCUUUGGCAACUUGAUAAGCUCAAAAGAAUGAUUCUCAUGCAAUGACUUCAUCUCAUCUUGCAUAGCAUCAACCCAUUUCAUCUUAUUUUCAUCUCUCAUGGCUUCCUCAUAACUUUUAGGUUCUCCCCCGUUAGUCAGUAAUACAUAAUCAUCAACAGAAUACCAUGUGGAAGGAUGUCGGUCUCUGAUAGACCUCCUGAGUGGAAUAUAUGGUGGAGUCUCUGCUACUGUGACUGCUCAUGAAUAUCAUCAUCCAUCUCAACUUGUGUGGGAGUUUCAACAUCACUAAUGUCAUGUUGGUCAUCAUGUGCUUCAUCUUCAACUUGUGUAGGAAAAUGUGUCAAAGGAACUGGAUCUAAGUCAAUCAAAUUAUCACUAUACUGAAACUCUAUUACAUCAGUCUUCUCAAUGUCCUGUAUAGUAUGAUCUUCCAUAAACAUAGCAUCUCGGCUUCUUACAAGCUUUUUCUGCACCGGAUCAUAAAACCUAUAACCAAGCUCAUCCUGACCAUAGCCAAUGAAUACACAAGGUCUUGUCUUAGCAUCAAGCUUAGACCUCUCAUCUUUCGAAAUGUGCACAAAAGCCUUGCAUCCAAAGACAUGCAAGUGAUCAUAAGAGAUUUCAUUAUCUGACCACAUUUUAUCUGGAACAUCAAAUUCUAAAUGAACACAUGGUGUAAGAUUGAGAACAUGUACAAUAGUAUUCAAAGCCUCACUCCAAAAGGAUCUUGGCAACUGUGACUGCGAAAGUAAACAUCUUACCCUUUCAACUAGUGUCCUAUUCAUUCUCUCAACCAACCCAUUCAACUGAGGAGUCUUAGGAGGUGUCUUUUGAUGUUGAAUACCAUGUUGUCUACAAUACUUAUUAAAAGGACCAAAAUACUCACCCCCAUUAUCAGUGCAGAUGCAUUUCAAUUUUUCACCAGAUUGUCUCUCAACAAAAGCAUUGAUUCAUGCCCAGUUAGGUCUUUUAAUAAAAAAUAUUUAUAAAUCCUAUGACCUUAUAUUGGCGUAGCAAAGCUACUAUAGUAUAGCAGCUCUAGGGUCGAACUCAGGGAUGGGUUUUCACUCUAUCAGUGACAGACUCUAGAUUAGAAAUUGAGUCUGAUGAUUUCCUUUAUCAUAAACUUGACGUUUAAAAGAAAAUAAAAUUUGUUUUGAAAGUGGUGAUUGAAACUAAACUAACAUAGAACUAAGUAAAAAUGGAAGAAAGAAAGUCUCCCGGAGCUAAGGGUUGCUAGGAUCAAGUUCAGAAUGCAAAGUGGAAAAUUCCAGAUUUUUCUCAUCGCAUUGGGGAUUUAACCUAUAGUUAUUUCCCGAACCGGUAUAGGUUUAACAAUGAAGAUUUAAUCCAUAAAAAGUCAAUAGAAAUGAUAGUCAAGGUCCAUUAAUGGUUUUAGACAUUAUGGGUCUUCACCUUGAACCACUUUCCAAUGGCUCGUACAUGAUAACUAAUGGACUGAUAUGGAUCUAGCAAUAAGCAUCCACAGAGACCUGAAGCUUACCAUGUAUUGGCCAUUCAAAGUGAUUCUAAGGGAUUUAAAGCAAAACUUUGGAUUUAGAAGCCAUUUAUGAACUCCAACUACCUUAAUUUAAUGCACGGAAGCUUUCCACCUUUUCAUCUGGACUUUUCACCUAGCUUCCUUUACUCCAAGAAACUAUAAGUUUAGCCUCUCAUCCUCUAGGAAAACAUCCUCAGAGGCUGUUUGGCUUCCAAGAAAAAGAAAAUAGUAGAGAGAAAAAGAAAGCAAAAGAGAUCUCUCUAUUUCACUAAGUGUAAAAUUUACAUAAGUUGGUCUCCUGGAAAAAGCUCCCCGAGAGUCGUUUUUCAGUGUUUACAAGAGAGUUUAUAUAGGAAGGUAAUUUUACCCUUCCUUGGAUACUUCCUAGCUAAGGAAUUACAUGAGUGGCUGAAUACAAGGAGAAAAUGGAAAUUUAGACACAAAAAUAUCAGAAGAAAAAGAGUCGGCAUAAAUAUCCCAGUUUCGCACGUUGCAUGGUGACUUGCGAAAAUUUCGCAAGUUGAUUUCGCAACUUAGAAUUCACUUUCGCAUGUUGAGAUCCAAGUCCACAAGUUGCAAAAUCAACUUCGCAUGCUGGGCUUCACCGCGACUUCACAGCUGCCAUCCAUUUUAAAUUUCGCACGUUGAAGUUCCAAUUUCACAAGGUGCGAAAUUGUCCCUCAGCUUGCUGCAGUUUUCUUCUGAAGGCCAUAUCUUCCUCAUUUCAGCUCCAAAUCGUACACGGUUUAAAGCGUUGGAUUCUUGACUUCCUGAGCUUUGAAAUGGUAUAUAUAAUGUAGAAAAUAGACUUCGGAAAGUGCUCCAAAAGUGCGAAGGAAGACUGCAGCUGUGUCCCCUGUUUUCCUUACCCUGUUUUCCUCUUCUCCAUUGUUCUUUCCUUGCAUACUUUGAACGACUAAGGCAAAGGACUAUGAGGCUCCAAAGCUUGGUUUCUUCAUAAAUUUGAGCUUCCAAAAGCUUUUCCAUGAACUAUAUAAAGCUCUCCCUCAUUCUUAAAUUGCUUUGGUGAGCAUAAAGCUAUCAAAAAGCACCAAAACUUAACACAAUUUGAUUAGAAACGAUUGCAAGGGUCCCUAACAUGCUAAUUGAGUUAAAAGGUAAUAAUUACUACUCAAGGGUGUUUAAAAGAGCUAAUUAAAAGCUACAAAAUAGCAUGUUUUGAGUAGUAAUCAAGCAUGAAAUUGCUUAAACACCUCUAACACUUGGUCUUUUGUUUUCAAGGUAUACACCCAAAUCUUUCUUGAAUGAUCAUCUAUAAAAGUCACAAAAUAUAGAGAUCCACCAAGUGUUUUUGUUUUCAUAAGACCAUACACAUUAGAAUAUACUAAAUCAAGCAUACCUGGCUUCCUUGUAUGGCAGUGUGUUUUGAAUGCAACUCUGGUCUGCUUUCUUACUAAGCAAUGAGCACACAUUUUCAAAGAUCCCUUCUUCAUACCAGAAAGAAGAUUUUUCUUAGCUAAAAUCAUCAAGCCCUUCUCACUCAUGUGACCGAGUUUGUUGUGCCAAAGCUCAACUAUGCUAUCAUCAUCCACUGCAUUGAUACUGGAAUCAAUUACCCUUGCCUGCAUCAAACACAAUGAGGAACACUUCUUUCCUUUUGUUGCCACCAUAGAACCUAUGGUGAGCUUCCAUUGACUAUCAUGAAAGGUGUUGUAGAACCCUUCAUCAUCAAGCUUACCUGUGGAGAUGCGGAUAUCCGGAAUGUGUUUAACAUUCUUCAAAAUCAACAUAGUACCAUUACUAGUCUCCAAACGCACAUAUCUCAUACCAAUGGCUUUAGCUGAGCCCUCAUUAUCCAUCCUAACACUUCCAAAAUCACCGAAUGUGUAGGAUGUAAAGAAAUCUUUCUGAGGUGUAGCAUGGAUUAAGGCACCGCUAUCAAUCACCCAACUGGUCUCUUGGCAAGCAAAAUUAACAACAUCACUAUCAUAAACAAUAAGGAAAUCUGAAGUGGUAGUGGCAACUCGAUCAUCUUCACCACCAUUGUCAUUCUUCUUGUCCUUCACUUUCCCUUGUUUCAUAUCUCUCUUCAAUUGGCGACAAUACUUCACUAUAUGCCCUUUCAAAUGGAAAUAGUGACACUCAACAUUGGCAAACUUGUUAGUCUUGCUUUUUCUUCUAUCUCUGUUAUUCGGACCUCUACUCUUACUUCUCUCCCUCUUCUCAGUAACUAGGACAUCUAACUGUGAAGAAGAACCCUGUGACUUUCUUCCCAUCUCUUCAUUCAGAACACAACUCUUAACCAAAUCCAUAUUCAUAGUACCAUCUGGGGCUGAGUUAGACAAAGAAGUUCUAAAUGUCUCCCACGAGUCUGACAAGGUACCAAGAAGCCACAACCCUUGCAUCUCUUCCUCAAACUUGAUAUUCAUUCUAACCAACUGAUUAAUAAUACCUUGGAAUGUAUUCAAGUGAUCUGUCAUAGUAGUUCCAUCUUGAUACUUCAAGCUAAUCAUCUUCUUGAUCAGAAACAAUUUAUUGUUACCAGUCUUUCGAGCAUAUAACUGUUCGAGCUUGUUCCAUAGACUACGUGCAUGUUUCUCUUCACUAACAUGAUUGAGAACAUUAUUAUCUACCCACUGUCUGAUAUAACCACAAACAUGCCGAUGAAGUAAAUCCCAUUUUGCAUUAGUUUUAUUUUCUGGCUUUUCAGAAGCAAACACAAGCAAAUAAUAAUCCUUUGCAUACAAUAAGUCUUCCAUUUUUCCUUUCCAAACAUGAUAAUUGGAGCCAUUCACAGUAAUCAUUCUACUUGUAUUGCUUUCCAUUGUUUUACACAAGGCACAAAUUAUCUUGAACCAAUGCUCUGAUACCACUUUGAUGGGAUAAACACAAACACUGCACAACUAGAUUUUAUACCCUCUUCUAAGAACCUAAUAAGAAUCAAUUAAAUAGAGCAACAAGAAUUCACCUAAUCAACAAGUAUAUGAACACCAACAAUUUUUAGCGUGGAAAACCUUCUCUAAUGUGAGAAGUAAAAACCACAGGACCCUUAGGCCACUUAAAAACUCCACUAAUAGAAUCAAUGGGUUACACAAUUCUCUCUAGAUAAAACUAGAGGCAUACAUCAACCAUAUCUCAAGACAAAUUAAUCUUGGCAAUUUCAACAACUUUGCAUAAAGACAAUGGAGAAAUCUCACCAAACACAUCCACUAUUCCCAGAUUAAAAUAUGAUUGUUUCGAACUCCAAAUCCAAUCUCCAUCGUUCAGAAUGAAGAUCAAUGAGUUCUAAACGUGCUCACUAAAAAUCAGUUCAAUCGAACCACAAAUUAACCUUGAUCGAAGCUCAUGAUCAAAACUGUCUGGAUAGAAAACUCACCAAAUAGAGGCUCUAUUCUCAGAUUGAAAGACAACCGUCUGGAACUCCAAAUCUGAUCUCCACCAUUUAGAUGGAAGAUCAAUGAACCAUGAAUCUCGCCUCCAGAUAUCAGGUCAAUCGGCUCACAGGCGAAGCAAGAUAGACCUUUGAUGAAAUUUGGACAGUGAAGAAAAACUGAGUUUUUCUCUCUAACUUCAAAAAUGGUGGUUCUCCCCUUCUCUCUUUUUUCUCCUUCUACUCUCUUUUUCUUUUACCUCUGAUGGCUGCAAAAAAUUGGAAGAAGAAUAAGAAUAGGGAUUCUUCUUCUAACCCUUUUAUAUAAAGGCCUAAGAGGCCUUAAAUUCUGGGCUCUUAAUUUGGGCCUUUCACAUGAGAAAAAACCUAAUAGGAAGUAGCCAAUCUUUCUGGAUGGCAUCAAUAGAAUGGGUAAAUAUAGCUUGUUGUUUAUAAUCUCUUGCGAGUAUUCUUUAUUUUUUGUACAUAGCAUUAAACAAAAAUCUAUUGAACUUAUGAUCAAACAUAUGUGUCUUGUCCUAAAAAAUCAAAAUUUUAUGUUUCCUUUUUGAUGGGAAUACUAAUGUUGAGGCAAAGGGUUACUUAAUUGAACUUUAUUUCCACUUUAUUAGUCAUUAUUCAAUUCAAAGAUUCUUUCUGGUUUUGAAAAGAUCACCUAGGUUCAGGGGCACAUAUGGUUUUAAAAUUUGGUUUACAAUUUUUUUUUUUCAAUAAUUGGUGUUAUUCUUUUCCAAAUUGUGUGGAAAAAUUUCAUUAAUUGUUUUAAAUAAUUAUAUCAAGGGUUGAAAACUGAAAUGGUAAGUGACCCCAAUGAUCUAGUACAUUUUCAUCAAUUAAAAUAGAAAAUUCAUAGAUUUUCUAGACCAUUUCUCCAAAUUGGUUCUCUUGGAGAAUAGGGCAUGUGACUAUUUGGGAUGUGAUUUUUUUUUUUUUAGUGCAUUAGAGAACCGAUUUGGAGUUUUUCUUUUUGUACGAUAUAACAUUAGUCCUUCAAAAUAUAAGUUGCAU